Erinaceus europaeus (western European hedgehog) is the source of this 103-nucleotide non-coding RNA. NCBI's taxonomy places the organism in Eukaryota, Metazoa, Chordata, Mammalia, Eulipotyphla, Erinaceidae. The record is from Rfam.
GUGCUCACUUUUACAGCACAGAUACUAAAAUUGGAGUGAUGCAGCAAUUAACAUGGCCCUGCGCAAGGAUGACACGCAAAUUCGUGAAGUGUUUCGUAUUUUU